Molecule: unclassified non-coding RNA, 286 nt
Filed under: uncultured Trechisporales
Lineage: Eukaryota; Fungi; Basidiomycota; Agaricomycetes; Trechisporales
Description: sequence contains 5.8S rRNA gene
Rfam family: 5.8S ribosomal RNA (bases 1-53)
Source: RNAcentral
GAACGCACCUUGCGCCCAUUGGUAUUCCGAUGGGCAUGCCUGUUCGAGUGUCUUGAAUUCAUCGCCGCCUCCGGUUUUGCGACCGGCUGGCGGCGGACUUGGGGGUCUGCCGCGGCGACGCGGCUCCCUUUGAAUGCAUCGGUGGGGUCUCCGAGCACCCACGGGCGUUGUAUUGUCCUCGUCCGACCGGGCCUCGCGUCCCCCACCUCGACUGCCGUCUGAGCGGCGGUCAAGCACACUUUGAAAUCUGACCUCGAAUCAGGUAGGACUACCCGCUGAACUUAAG